Molecule: ribosomal RNA, 460 nt
Filed under: uncultured bacterium
Lineage: Bacteria
Description: partial 16S ribosomal RNA
Rfam family: Bacterial small subunit ribosomal RNA
Source: RNAcentral
CCUACGGGGAGCAGCAGUGAGGAAUAUUGGUCAAUGGACGAGAGUCUGAACCAGCCAAGUAGCGUGAAGGAUGACUGCCCUAUGGGUUGUAAACUUCUUUUAUAUGGGAAUAAAAUGUUCCACGUGUGGGAUUUUGUAUGUACCAUAUGAAUAAGGAUCGGCUAACUCCGUGCCAGCAGCCGCGGUAAUACGGAGGAUCCGAGCGUUAUCCGGAUUUAUUGGGUUUAAAGGGAGCGUAGGUGGAUUGUUAAGUCAGUUGUGAAAGUUUGCGGGUCAACCGUAAAAUUGCAGUUGAAACUGGCAGUCUUGAGUACAGUAGAGGUGGGCGGAAUUCGUGGUGUAGCGGUGAAAUGCUUAGAUAUCACGAAGAACUCCGAUUGCGAAGGCAGUUCACUGGACUGCAACUGACACUGAGGCUCGAAAGUGUGGGUAUCAAACAGGAUUAGAUACCCUGGUAGUC